GAUGAACGCUGGCGGCGUGCCUAAUACAUGCAAGUCGAGCGAACGGACGAGAAGCUUGCUUCUCUGAUGUUAGCGGCGGACGGGUGAGUAACACGUGGAUAACCUACCUAUAAGACUGGGAUAACUUCGGGAAACCGUAGCUAAUACCGGAUAAUAUUUUGAACCGCAUGGUUCAAAAGUGAAAGACGGUCUUGCUGUCACUUAUAGAUGGAUCCGCGCUGCAUUAGCUAGUUGGUAAGGUAACGGCUUACCAAGGCAACGAUGCAUAGCCGACCUGAGAGGGGGAUCGGCUACAUCGGCAGUGAGACACGGUCCAGAAUCCUACGCGAGGCAGCUGCAGGGAAUCCUGGGGAGUGCGAGAAAGCCUGACGGAGCAACGUCUAGUGAGUGAUGAAGCUCUUGCGAUCCCAAAAGUCGGUUAUGAGGGAAGAGCAGAUGCGCAAGUUGCCGCGCAAGCAGCGACGGUACUUAGCCAGAAAGGGGCGGCGAACUACGGG
This 497-nucleotide ribosomal RNA is filed under the name uncultured bacterium. RNAcentral's name for it is "partial 16S ribosomal RNA". It matches the Rfam family "Bacterial small subunit ribosomal RNA", at positions 28 to 507 of the family's 1533-position model. The record is from RNAcentral.